CCGCAGCCCUAGCCCCCUACCACCCUACCAAGGACUGAUCGGAGACGUUACAUGAAGCGAUUUGCGGCAUUCUAGUGUGUGAAAUCGAAGGUGACGGUUCAGACCAAUACAGUAGUUCGUGAUUUCGAGGAGAUAAUUUUUCUGUCAAGUUCGGUGGUUCCUCGCCCCGUUAGGAAAGAUUUUCCAGCUUCUCAUCUUGUUCGGUAUGAACUUACGAGUCUUCGAAAGUCAAUAUUUUGUGGUCUCUCCAACAUUCGUCAAGGCGGUGCACGAAGACGGAACAUUUUCACUCUAUUGCAUCAGAGCUGUUCAUAACUUUACGGAUCAUCACUUCAUCACGGUAAAAUCUCUCCAACUCCUUUCUGCUCUUAGAAUCAAUUGCGAACGAAUCGACUAUUUAUCCAUUCUCUCAAUUUCCUUUCUACAGCGCUGAAUGCCAAUCAUGCAUUUGGCUACAUUCACUAGCUGCGUGAUAACCAUUGUUGGAAGUUUAUUGCUGACUACUGGAUUUCCUAGGGGAUCAAAUUGACUAUAUGCAUAUAUGUAAUAAGAAAUUACUAUUUCUGGCUCAUUUAUGAAAGCACCUAUCUGUAUAGAGAAAAUCAAAGUGGGAAAGGAGGAAGAACAAAGAGAGUAAAGAGAAUAGGAAAGAAUGGAAAGUGGAGGAGGA
Molecule: non-coding RNA, 670 nt
Organism: Bemisia tabaci
Lineage: Eukaryota; Metazoa; Arthropoda; Insecta; Hemiptera; Aleyrodidae
Source: RefSeq, a predicted model, not a curated record